GGGUCCAUAGCUCGGUGGUAGAGCAAUUGACUGCAGAUCAAUAGGUCACUGGUUCGAACCCAGUUGGGCCCU
This 72-nucleotide transfer RNA is filed under the name Triticum aestivum (bread wheat). RNAcentral describes it as "tRNA-Cys (GCA) (tRNA-Cys-GCA-13-1)". It matches the Rfam family "tRNA". Rfam says of the family: Transfer RNA (tRNA) molecules are approximately 80 nucleotides in length. The record is from Rfam by way of RNAcentral. RNAcentral also lists the same sequence under 1 other name. Lineage: Eukaryota; Viridiplantae; Streptophyta; Magnoliopsida; Poales; Poaceae.